Molecule: long non-coding RNA, 203 nt
Organism: Diceros bicornis minor
Lineage: Eukaryota; Metazoa; Chordata; Mammalia; Perissodactyla; Rhinocerotidae
Exons: 3
Source: RefSeq, a predicted model, not a curated record
AACUGAGGAGCAUGCUGCCCCCCACUGAGUUUGGUGGCAACAGUGGGAUCCAAAGGAGACACCUGAUGGCUUCGAGGAUGAGAAACACAGUCAUUGGUACCCUCAAAACCUUUGAGUUCUCCAUCUUUUUCGCUGUUUCUGAGGGCUGUGGGAGAUGAGCUGCCGUGACCCUCUUACCUUUGUCCGGUGUGAGCUUCUGGAGG